This 426-nucleotide long non-coding RNA is filed under the name Gossypium barbadense (sea-island cotton). RNAcentral's name for it is "long non-coding RNA (GBAR_LNC005120)". Lineage: Eukaryota; Viridiplantae; Streptophyta; Magnoliopsida; Malvales; Malvaceae. The record is from RNAcentral.
CCUACAUUUUUUUAAGACAUGAAUAGCAUGUUCAUGAUGUUAUCUGAAUGAAUAAGCAACCAAGGCACAUAACAUCAUUAAUAGGAUUUUAAUAAUCUAAGCUAAGAGAAUGCAAUCAAUCUAACAACAACGAAAUUAAGACAUUUGAAUUAAAUUAAAAGCAGAAAAUAUUUAGUAAUCUUGUUCAUCAAUUUAGAACAAAAUAAAAAAGUUAAAAGGGAAAGAAACUAUAAGGCAAAUCCGGUGUUUCUCCGUAGCUCAUCUUGUGUUUUGUUUAUCCUUCCUUCUGCUUUAUUCCUUCGCACAAUUGCCUUCAAAAUGUUGAAUUUUUGCUGCUCAAAGAACUUCUAAAAUGCUUCUCUCAAUUCUUAUGCUGCUCUCUCAAAUGGGAGGUGAAAGGGUAAAGAAUGAGAGAAGAGAUAGUUA